This 250-nucleotide ribosomal RNA is filed under the name uncultured bacterium. Its description in RNAcentral is "partial 16S ribosomal RNA". It matches the Rfam family "Bacterial small subunit ribosomal RNA", at positions 524 to 773 of the family's 1533-position model. The record is from RNAcentral.
UACGGGGGGUGCAAGCGUUACUCGGAAUCAUUGGGCGUAAAGGGCGCGUAGGCGGCCUAGUAAGUCAGGUGUGAAAGCCCGGGGCUUAACCCCGGAAGUGCAUUUGAUACUGCUAGGCUUGAGUAUGGGAGAGGGAAGUGGAAUUCCUGGUGUAGAGGUGAAAUUCGUAGAUAUCAGGAGGAACACCGGUGGCGAAGGCGACUUCCUGGACCAAUACUGACGCUGAGGCGCGAAGGCGUGGGGAGCAAAC